UCCAUUUCUGUGGAAAUCAGACAUUAGUGAUUUGAAGAUAUCCUUGAAAAUAGACCAUUGGGUGAUUAGGAACUUCACUGUGAAGCCAUCCGGGCCCGGAGCUUUGUUGUUGCCAAGUGCCUUUAAUGCCUUAAAGAUCUCUGUUAGGAUUCUACACCCUUUUUAAUAAAAUACCCAACUAGGGCUAAACAGAGACAGAAUAUAUAGCCCAAAGUUACAGCUACAAUAAGGAAUGAAAACAAGAACAAUGAACAACAAGAACAAACCUGCACCCUUCACAAGAAGGAUACCCCCUCCUAUCAGCUGCUGCCGCCUCCCUUUCUUAAAAGAUAACCAAAAAGAUACCCAUCCCUAUUUCUCAAUCAUUCUAUUUAUACUCACCCUCAAAUUCCUACCCAGUGGGACCCACCUGCACAUUCUUUUAUUUCCCACUCAUUCUCUCUCCUUACAUGUUGGUGAGUUUCCCUUCUUACCCUUCCUAACAUACGUAUGUAUGAUUGGGGUCUCACAACACCCCUCGGUUCAAAAUUCACCUUGUCCUCAAGGUGGAAUGUGGGAAACUGUUGAUUCAUUUGAUAGACAGCUUCCCAUGUGGCUUCAGUUUCUGGUAAAUUCUUCCACUUGACUAGCCAUUCGUUAGCUCCCAAUUCUUUGUUCCAGCGAAUUCCCAAUACCUGUUCUGGCCAUAGUUGUAAUUCGAAAUCUGUUGUCAACAUAGGUUGUUGUUGCUGCACAACCUUCUGCUUACCUAACUUGAGCUUCAACUAUAGGCCACCUCUCCUAUCUCUUCAAUGAUUGUGUAAGGCCCGUAGAAUUUUGGAGCCAGCUUUUCACACCUUUUCCGAGCUAAGGAUCUCUGCCUAUAAGGUCUGAGCUUUAGGUAUACUUCAUCACCCACCUUGAACUUCAAUUCCCUUCUUUUGGUGUCUGCCCAUUUCUUCAUGCGGUUUUGGGCUAAGUGAAGGUUCUCCUUCAAGGCGUUCAAUGCCAGAUCUCUCUCCUUGAGCAUUAUUUCUACCUCAUCAUUCUGAGUUUUUCGGGUUCCGUAGGAUAGAAUCGGGGUGGUUGCCUUCCAUAUACAAUCUUGAAAGGGUUGGAACGUAUGGAUGAAUGGAAAGUAGUGUUAUACCACAGUUCAGCCGAUGGAAUGAACUUAUGCCACCUUUGGGGUUGUUCAUUGCAAAAGCAUCUCAAGUAUGUCUCCAGACAUUGGUUUACCCUUUCCGUUUGUCCAUCUGUUUGUGGGUGGAACGCCGUGCUUCUUUUCAGUUUAGUUCCCAUAGUUGUAAAUAACUCCUUCCAAAAAUGACUAAUGAAAACUUUAUCCCUGUCGGAUACUAUGGAUUUUGGAACCCCAUGCUUGCUGAUGAUCUUUUCAAUGAAUGUCGUCGCCACUUGUUUAGCUGUGAAAGGGUGCUUCAUAGUGAUGAAAUAAGCAUACUUGCUCAAUCUGUCUACCACCACCAUUAUCACAUUCAUUCCCCCUGCCUUCGGUAACCCUUCUAUGAAAUCCAUUGACCAUUCUUCUAGUAUGGCUUCCGGAGCAGGAAGUGGAUGUAAUACCCCUGCUGGUUUCGUGGCCUCAUAUUUGUUUCUUUGACAAAUCUCACACUGUUCCACAUAUUUCUUUAUACCAGCCUUCAUUCCCUCCCAGUACAGCUCUCCGCUCAUCCUUUUCUAUGUCCUCAAGAAUCCCGAGUGUCCUCCUAAGAUGGAGUCAUGGAAUGUAUGCAGCAAUGUGGGAAUCACUGACGACUUCUUUGAUAAUACCACUCUCUUCUUGUAGAACAGUUUCCCAUUCUCCUAGCUAAAUUUGCUAAUUCCCUCUGGAUUCUGUUUCAAUUCUUUAAUGGUUUUCUGUAAUUCCUCAUCUUGGUUGACUUCCUUGUCUAUCACUUCCAUGUCUACAAUGCCAGUUGUCGUCAAGGAGUUUACUUCCAGCGGAUAUUCCAUCCUAGAAAGGGCAUCUGCUGCUUUGUUUUGUAAUCCAGGUUGGUAUAAUAUUUCAAAAUCGUAUCCCAGCAGUUUGGUCAGCCAUUUCUGAAAUUGGGGUUGUACUUCCCUCUGCUCAAGGAGAAAUUUCAAUGCCUUUUGAUCUGAGAUAAUUGUAAACUUCCUUCCUAAUAGAUAAUGACGCCAUUUCUGCACUGAUAAUACUACAGCCAUCCGUUCUCUUUCGUAAAUGGACUUGGCCUGAGCUCGUGUCGACAAUUUCUGGCUGAAGAAGGCUAUGGGUGACCAUUCUGUGAAAGUACAGCUCCCAAUCCUGUCCCUGAAGCAUCUGUUUCGAUUAAAAAAGGUAGAUCCCAAUUCGGCAGUGCUAGCACCGGGAUAGUAGUCAUGGCCAUCUUUAAUUUUUCAAAGGCCUCGGUUGCUUGUUCAUCCCACGCAAAAGAAUUCUUUUGCAACAAUCUGGUCAAGGGGGCUGCAAUUUCUCCGUAUCCUUUCACAAACCUACGAUAAUAGCCCGAUAAUCCCAGAAAUCCUCUCAGACCCGUGACAUCUUUCGGCUGAGGCCAUUUCACCAUGUCUUUGAUCUUCUCCUCAUCAGCCUGUACUCCUUUACUCGAAAUUAUAUGCCCCAAAUAUUGGAUUUUGGAGUGAGCUAUGACACACUUCUUCUUAUUUGCAAAUAGAUGUUAUCUCUCAACACUGCAAAUACCAUCCCUAGAUGUUUCUCAUGUUCUGCUAUAUCCUUGCUAUAUACAAGUAUAUCAUCGAAGAAUACCAAUACACACCUUCUUAAAAAGGGUUUGAAUACCUGAUUCAUCAAGGACUGGAAGGUGGCUGGUGCGUUUGUAAGACCGAAGGGCAUUACCAGAAAUUCAUAGUGACCCUCAUGUGUUUCUGAACGCGGUCUUCUCAACAUCUUCCUUCUGCAUCCUUAUUUGAUGGUAACCGGACUUCAGAUCUAGUUUUGAGAAAACCGUGGCUCCAUGUAAUUCAUCCAGCAGUUCUUCUAUCACUGGGAUAGGAAAUUUGUCUGAUAUGGUUACUUGGUUGAGUUUCCGGUAAUCUACACAAAACCGCCACCCUCCAUCUUUCUUUUUGACCAAUAAAACAGGGCUGGAGUAAGGGCUAUGACUGGGACGUAUCACACCUGCUUGCAGCAUUUCCACCACCAAUUUCUCAAUUUCCUCCUUCUGUACAUAACCAUAUUUAUAUGGUCUGACAUUGACCUUUGGUUCGGUAAAACCAAUAUACGGUGAUCUAUUUCUCUCUUAGGAGUAGUUUUUGGAUCCUCAAAGAUGUCUGCAUACUGUUGUAACAGAUUUUUAAUCAUUGGAAUCUCUUCCUCGUCCCUUUCAUUUCCUGCUCCGCUUCCACCUCCGUGUCUACUUCAUACUUUUGGAAUUCCAACAGAAAACCCUGAUCUUCAUUUUCCCACGUUUUCUCAAUGGUUUUCAGGGAACAUUCUGCUUGGAUGAGGGAUGGGUCUCCUUUCAAGAUAAUUUUCUGUUUGCCCAACCAGAAAGACAUUGUUAGAGAUGGCCAAUGUAUCUUCAUGGUGCCUGUUGUAUCCAGCCACUGCAUACCCAAUAUUACAUCCACAUUUCCCAACUCAAUAGCAAAAAAAUCAGCCACCACCACCACCCCUUGUAGUUCCAAUUCCACUCUCUUGCAAACACCCUUGCCUGCUACACUUGGUGCCAUCUCCAAUUGUAACUGCAAACGGGUUACCUUUUUCCAGAUAUAAGUUCUUUUCCUUUACUGUCCGGUUAUGUAUAAAAUUAUGGGUUGCUCCACUAUCAAUCAGUACUAUCACUCCUUUGCCCUUUAUAUUUCCCUUCAGCUUCAUCGUUCCCUUCGAUGCCAUCCCAUGGAUUGUCUUCAAUUCUAUUUCCUCCCCUUCAGCAAAAUCCAUAUGGUUUAAUUCCACUGUUUCCCCUGGUUCCUCUUCCAUCUUGCCUUCCUCUUCCUUGCUCUCCUCUUCAUUCAUGAUAAAUAACAUCAGCUCCCUUUUUUCCUUCACUCUACAUCUGUGCCCUGGUGUAUAUUUCUCAUUGCAUUUAAAACAUAGGCCCUUAUCCAAUCUGGACCUGAAUUCUGCGUCUGAAAGUCUGUAGUUCGAUAGGAGGUUCACUUUUUUGAUAACUACCCUUAAUAGGUAUAGUUACUUGUUUUAUGGGGAAAUCUGUCCUCCUCAUGUAGCCUUUGUCUGUUCCAUCUUGGAUUUUUCCUGCAUACUCUUCUUUUUUCUUUGGUUCCACUGUCCUGCCCUCGGUCUUAGUCAAUUUCAUUGCUACAUUCCGAUCAUUGACUAGUUUAGCCUCCCUCAUACAAUCUUCCAAUGUUCGAGGAAACGACUAACGACUUCUGCCUGAAGAUUGGGUUCCAGACCGGUCAGAAAAGCAUCUCGUAACACACUUUCCUCCAUGUGAGGGAGGGGAGCUGAAUAUGUGACAAAUUUCUUCACAUACUCACUGUAGGAUCCAUCUUGUUGAAUCCUAAUCAAGCGUGCCACUAGACUUGUUUGUCCGAGUCCUUGAAGAAAUCAAACAUCCUCCCUUUCAAAUCUUCCCAUGACUCUACUUUCUUCCUAUUAUGCGUCCACCUGUACCAGUCCACUUCCUCUUGCCCAAAACUGACCACCGCCACUCUGAUCUUCUCGUUUUCUGGCAGGUUGUUCAUCUCAAAGAAAUGUUCUGCUCUAUAUACCCAGGAUUCUGGAUUUUCACCUAAGAACAUAGGCAUUUCUAACUUUGCGUACUUACUUCGAUCCACAUUGCUUCCAUUUACCUCAUUACAGACUUCCGAUUCUUCUACUUUUCCUUUCAACUUCAUGCUGGAUCCAUCAGAUGUUCCGGAUUCAUCUCUUUUCUUAUAGCUAUGAUUCUCUCUUAGUUCCUCUGUCAGUCUUUCCAUAGAUUUCUUCAUUUCCAGUAGCAUUUCUUUCAUGCUCAGCAGCUCCUUCUCGGUUCCUUCCAUUCGUUCCUCCAUUUGUCUUUGUGCCAUGCGACGCGUCACCACCCCUAGUUUUUUUUUUUCUUUUUGUCGGGCUCUGAUACCAAAUGUUAGGAUUCUACACCCUUUUUAAUAAAAUACCCAACUAGGGCUAAACAGAGACAGAAUAUAUAGCCCAAAGUUACAGCUACAAUAAGGAAUGAAAACAAGAACAAUGAACAACAAGAACAAACCUGCACCCUUCACAAGAAGGAUACCCCUCUCCUAUCAGCUGCUGCCGCCUCCCUUUCUUAAAAGAUAACCAAAAAGAUACCCAUCCCUAUUUCUCAAUCAUUCUAUUUAUACUCACCCUCAAAUUCCUACCCAGUGGGACCCACCUGCACAUUCUUUUAUUUCCCACUCAUUCUCUCUCCUUACAUGUUGGUGAGUUUCCC
This 5339-nucleotide long non-coding RNA is filed under the name Cucumis sativus (cucumber). RNAcentral's name for it is "long non-coding RNA (CSAT_LNC003004)". Lineage: Eukaryota; Viridiplantae; Streptophyta; Magnoliopsida; Cucurbitales; Cucurbitaceae. The record is from RNAcentral.